AUUGAACGCUGGCGGCAGGCCUAACACAUGCCAGUCGAGCGGAUGAAGGGAGCUUGCUCCUGGAUUCAGCGGCGGACGGGUGAGUAAUGCCUAGGAAUCUGCCUGGUAGUGGGGGAUAACGUCCGGAAACGGGCGCUAAUACCGCAUACGUCCUGAGGGAGAAAGUGGGGGAUCUUCGGACCUCACGCUAUCAGAUGAGCCUAGGUCGGAUUAGCUAGUUGGUGGGGUAAAGGCCUACCAAGGCGACGAUCCGUAACUGGUCUGAGAGGAUGAUCAGUCACACUGGAACUGAGACACGGACCAGACUCCUACGGGAGGCAGCAGUGGGGAAUAUUGGACAAUGGGCGAAAGCCUGAUCCAGCCAUGCCGCGUGUGUGAAGAAGGUCUUCGGAUUGUAAAGCACUUUAAGUUGGGAGGAAGGGCAGUAAGUUAAUACCUUGCUGUUUUGACGUUACCAACAGAAUAAGCACCGGCUAACUUCGUG
RNAcentral lists this ribosomal RNA (484 nucleotides) under uncultured bacterium. RNAcentral's name for it is "partial 16S ribosomal RNA". It matches the Rfam family "Bacterial small subunit ribosomal RNA", at positions 30 to 507 of the family's 1533-position model. The record is from RNAcentral.